This 301-nucleotide ribosomal RNA is filed under the name uncultured bacterium. RNAcentral's name for it is "partial 16S ribosomal RNA". It matches the Rfam family "Bacterial small subunit ribosomal RNA", at positions 509 to 808 of the family's 1533-position model. The record is from RNAcentral.
CAGUCGCCACGGUAAUACGUAGGUCCCGAGCGUUGUCCGGAUUUAUUGGGCGUAAGGCGAGCGCAGGCGGUUAGAUAAGUCUGAAGUUAAAGGCUGUGGCUUAACCAUAGUACGCUUUGGAAACUGUUUAACUUGAGUGCAAGAGGGGAGAGUGGAAUUCCAUGUGUAGCGGUGAAAUGCGUAGAUAUAUGGAGGAACACCGGUGGCGAAAGCGGCUCUCUGGCUUGUAACUGACGCUGAGGCUCGAAAGCGCGGGGAGCAAACAGGAUUAGAUACCCGAGUAGUCCCUGUCUCUUAUACA